This 227-nucleotide long non-coding RNA is filed under the name Mytilus galloprovincialis (Mediterranean mussel). Lineage: Eukaryota; Metazoa; Mollusca; Bivalvia; Mytilida; Mytilidae. The record is from RNAcentral.
UGUUUCUGUUCAAAUCACGUUAAAGGCAGUUACAACUGUUCUAUUUUCUAUAAGAUUUCUUACUCUUUUCCUAGAACUGAUUCUGCCAUGAAUGACAGAUUAUUCUAAAAGUUUAAAACAGGGGUUCAACUGAUUUUAACUGUAUCUUGGUCAUUCCAAGGGAUUUUUGUGGAGAAUAUAUUAUACGUGAAGCUUUUCAUUAUUCCUAAUUGUUAAGAUGAAACGAC